GCAGCGAAAUGCGAUAAGUAAUGUGAAUUGCAGAAUUCCGUGAAUCAUUAAAUCUUUGAACGCACAUUGCGCCCUCUGGUAUUCCUAAGGGCAUGCCUGUUUGAGAAUCAGUUUAAUCAUCAAACCUAGUGGGUAAAACCACUGGGGUUGGACCUGGGACUUGUCGAUAGACUGUCUCUAAUACCAUCUGUUGCGACUCUAUAGUGAGACUAUACGAAAAGCAUGACCAUUGAACGCAAGUUCUCUGAUUGCCUGUAGUAUCCUUGAGCUAUAGACUAGUACAAAAUUAAACACGAAGACUUUACCGUCUUUAAGACUUGAUCUCAAAUCAGACAAGACUACCCGCUGAACUUAA
This 355-nucleotide unclassified non-coding RNA is filed under the name uncultured fungus. Its description in RNAcentral is "sequence contains ITS2, 28S rRNA gene". The stretch from base 1 to 110 matches the Rfam family "5.8S ribosomal RNA", at positions 45 to 154 of the family's 154-position model. The record is from RNAcentral. Lineage: Eukaryota; Fungi.